UACGAGGGGGGGCGAGCGUUGUUCGGAAUUAUUGGGCGUAAAGGGUGCGUAGGCGGUUCCGCAAGUCCUGUGUGAAAUCUUCGGGCUCAACUCGAAGUCUGCACGGGAAACUGCGGGGCUUGAGUGUGGGAGAGGUGAGUGGAAUUCCCGGUGUAGAGGUGAAAUUCGUAGAUAUCGGGAGGAACACCAGUGGCGAAGGCGGCGAUCUGGGAAGAUACUGACGCUGAGGUGCGAAAGCGUGGGGAGCAAACAGG
Molecule: ribosomal RNA, 254 nt
Filed under: uncultured bacterium
Lineage: Bacteria
Description: partial 16S ribosomal RNA
Rfam family: Bacterial small subunit ribosomal RNA
Source: RNAcentral